UGCCACUUGCUGGUCUUGCUGGUUAAGCACGCGGUUUGCGCUGAAAAGGUCACACUAUUGUGAUGCUGAUGAUUAUUCUGUUCAAUUAGCGGCUCUUUCUUUCCUUGGCAGCAUGUACAGCUGAAAAGAAACGACUGUAACAGAGCUCCGUCUCGCGAAUAGCCCCAAGAGCACCUCCUGCUGGAUCCAAGCAAGAACGGACAAGAUUCAGGGUUCACUGCCAUCAGAUGGAUUAUUUCUGAUCUGCCUGAGAUUAGGUGUGGCUCGUCAGAGACCAGGUGGGUGUUCUCAGCAAAGGAACCUCCAGCGAGUCGUGUCACCCGGGGAUGUGACGUUUGACCUCACGCUCGUCAUGUGGAGUAUUUUCCGGAACGCGUCCUCCUCACCUUGGCUUGCCUGCACCUCUGUGAUUUUCGGCUGAAACUUCUGAGGUUUGCACUUGUGGUUAAUCUGUGCUGUGAAAAAGAAAUUCGACCUGGAACAGGAGGGACCAGCAACCCCCCCAGACAAGCAGCCUUCCAAAUGCCUGGGCAUUGAUGUUCGCCUUCCCAGGUGCUCCAGAUGAAUGGAGUCUACAGCACCAGCCACUGGCCAAAGGCUCCUCCCCUUGAAGGGGAUAGAUUUUGUAUCCUAGGGUUUGUAUCCUUUAAUUCUUCCUUUACCCAUUGUACUCUGGUCCCCCCUUUACAGCCACUGCCUACUCCAUAAUGUGCCCCUCCCCCGACCCAGAAUCAGGACUGCAGGGAGUCUAAAUCGCGGGAGCUGCUGUUGGACCCUCAUAGCUGCUAAUGGAAAACAGAACCUGCCAUCUGUAUAGACGCGGACCUGUCAAGCAGAUAAUAAUGAUGAUGAAUUAUAAUCUCUGCUGGGGUGUCAAUACGUGUUAAUUCACAUCUGAAAAGCUCAGGACCCACAGAGCGAAAAGUCUGGACCCCUUCUGGACCCUCAGCGGU
Molecule: non-coding RNA, 953 nt
Organism: Paramormyrops kingsleyae
Lineage: Eukaryota; Metazoa; Chordata; Actinopteri; Osteoglossiformes; Mormyridae
Source: RefSeq, a predicted model, not a curated record